Long non-coding RNA from Uranotaenia lowii, 443 nucleotides. RefSeq lists it as uncharacterized. NCBI's taxonomy places the organism in Eukaryota, Metazoa, Arthropoda, Insecta, Diptera, Culicidae. The transcript has 3 exons. The record is from RefSeq and is a predicted model, not a curated record.
AAAUGAUAAGUUUCUACACUCAGAAUAAAAACAACCCAAAAUUAAGAACGCCCGGGCAUCAAAACAUAGUUUAGCUGCUGUUCUUAUUUUUGGGUUGCUGUCAACACCCCAAAAUAAAAGUUCACAGCUUGAACUGACUGCCCCAAAAACUUAUCGUUCGGAAUUUGUUGCGUUUCUUGUCGCCAUGCUGAUUUCUUUUGUCAAAAACUUAUUUUUUUUUUCGAAUGAAAAAGGAGUGAAAAAUUAUUGCUACAUCAGUUGUUGGAAUUUGGAAAAGAUUGGAGGAAGUUGCAGCAACGGACCAACAAAUGGAACGGGGAUACCACAGAAAUAUAAAAGCUAUAGAGUUCGAAAAAAUUCACCUUGGGAAUUAUAGAUAAGACACCAUUAAAACACAAUGAGUUAAACACUAAUUCAAAUCAUAAUAAAAAAAAAACUUGAAA